RNAcentral lists this non-coding RNA (757 nucleotides) under Diadegma fenestrale. The record is from RNAcentral. Lineage: Eukaryota; Metazoa; Arthropoda; Insecta; Hymenoptera; Ichneumonidae.
UUUAAAAAUUAAAGUAAUUUAUAUUUAGAAUAUUUUUUUAAUAUUAAUAAAAUUUGUGCCAGCAAUUGCGGUUAAACAAAUAAUGUAAUUUAAUUUUAUAAAUUAAAAUAAAUUUAUUUUAUUAUAUAUUUAUAUAAAUAAAUUUAUUUAUAAUAUAAAUAAUUUUAUUAUUUAUAUUGUUUAUAUUUAAAUUUAUAUAAUUUAAAUGUUUUUAUAUAAUUAUAAUUAAAUAUUUUUAGUGAAAUAAUAAUUUUUAUAAAAAUUAUAUAUUAUUUAAAAUGAAAAUUUAAAAUUAAUUAAAUAAACUAGGAUUAGAUACCCUAUUAUAAUUAAUUUUAUUAUAUUAAUAAAUUAAAUAAUUAAUUGAUAAAUCAUUAAAAUUAAAAAAUAUUGACGGUAUUUUACUUAUUCAGAGGAACUUAUUUUAUAAUUGAUAAUACACGAUAAGAUUAACUUAAAUUUAAAAUUUAUAUAUUGUUGUUUUUAAAAAAUUUUAAUAAAAAUAAUUUUUGUAAUUUAAAUUUUAUAAAAUAUUUCAAAUCAAAAUGUAGUUUUAUUUAAGAAAAAAUGAGUUACAAUAAAAAUUAUUUUUGAAUUAUUUAAUUUAAAUUAAAUAUGAAAUUGGAUUUGAAAGUAAAUUUAAACUAAUUAUUUAAAUUGAUUUUAAUUUAAAAUAUGUACAUAUUGCCCGUCAUUUUCAAUUAAAUUGAAACAAGUCGUAACAAAGUAAAUUUACUGGAAAGUAAAUUUAGAAUUU